GACGAACGCUGGCGGCGUGCUUAACACAUGCAAGUCGAACGGAAAGGCCCUGCUUUUGUGGGGUGCUCGAGUGGCGAACGGGUGAGUAACACGUGAGUAACCUGCCCUUGACUCUGGGAUAACUUCAGGAAACUGGGGCUAAUACCGGAUAGGAGCUCCUGCUGCAUGGUGGGGGUUGGAAAGUUUCGGCGGUUGGGGAUGGACUCGCGGCUUAUCAGCUUGUUGGUGGGGUAGUGGCUUACCAAGGCUUUGACGGGUAGCCGGCCUUAGAGGGUGACCGGCCACAUUGGGACUAAGAUACGGCCCAGACUCGUACGGGAGGCAGCAGUGGGGAAUAUUGCACAGUGGGCGGAAGCCAGUGGCAGCAGCGCCGCGUGCGGGAUGACGGGCUUCGGGUUGUAAACCGCUUUCGCCUGUGACGAAGCGUGAGUGACGGUAAUGGGUAAAGAAGCACCGGCUAACUACGUG
RNAcentral lists this ribosomal RNA (468 nucleotides) under uncultured bacterium. RNAcentral's name for it is "partial 16S ribosomal RNA". It matches the Rfam family "Bacterial small subunit ribosomal RNA", at positions 28 to 507 of the family's 1533-position model. The record is from RNAcentral.